GCCCUUGUAGUUUAAAGGAUAGAACCUGGGCCUCCGAAGCUCAAGAUGGCCGUUCGAUUCGGCCCGAGGGCA
RNAcentral lists this transfer RNA (72 nucleotides) under Candidatus Nealsoniibacteriota bacterium. RNAcentral describes it as "tRNA-Arg". It matches the Rfam family "tRNA". Rfam says of the family: Transfer RNA (tRNA) molecules are approximately 80 nucleotides in length. The record is from RNAcentral. Lineage: Bacteria; Candidatus Nealsoniibacteriota.